ACGUAAAUGGAGCGCGCUCAAACUUCCCAUCAUUCUGAUUACGGUAGUCAUUUUGUCACCCUCAUCAUGGCAAAGACACGGAGAAAUGCAUAUGAUGCAGCUUUCAAGUUGAAGGCGAUCGAUCUGGCUGUUGGAAAAGGAAAUAGAGCUGCUGCACGGGAGCUUGGCCUUAAUGAGUCGAUGAUAAGACGUUGGAAACAGCAGCGCGAGGAACUGACUCCGUGCAAGAAGACAACAAAAGCUUUCAGAGGGAAGAAAAGCAGAUGGCCCGAACUAGAAAAUGAGCUUGAAGACUGGGUCAACACACAGAGAGCAGACGGCCGAGGUGUUUCAACUGUGCAGAUCCGACUGAAAGCCAAAACAAUCUCCAGCGCAAUGAAGUUUGAGGAUUUUAGAGGUGGACCAUCGUGGUGUCUAAGAUUUAUGAGACGUAAAGGCCUGUCCAUCAGGCAUACAGGCGAGCCAAACAAGGAGAUGGAGCAGCCAGCUCAGUCUGGAGCAUCAGUGGAUUCUAUGGGCCCAGGAGCAUCACGCAACAAUGCACCAACAGCCUCGGCAGAUGGAAACAGUGGGGAUGAUGCUACCAAUGCAGUCAGUGCAAGUACCUCAACUAUAGACGGGGCAGGGGAUGCUGGUAAUACAGAAACUGUGAAGGAAUCCUUUGUAGAGAAUUCAAAGACAGUGGAAGAAAUGAUAACCGAUGCCUUGCUGACUGUGGGAGAAAUGGCCAGUGAAGAGGAUUCACAGAGAGGAAGAGAAACAGCCAGUGUAGAUGGUUCACAGAAGGAGAGAGAAACAGCCAGUGUCGAUGAUUCACAGACGGAAAGAGAAACAGACAGUGUAGAUGGUUCACAGACGGAAAGAGAACCAGCCAGUGUAGAUGCUUCACAGACGGAAGGAGAAACAGACCAUGUGGAUGCUUCACAGACUGUAGGAGAAACGUCCAGUGUGGAUGCUUCACAGAUGGAAGGAGAAACAGACCGUGUGGAUGCUUCACAGACUGUAGGAGAAACGUCCAGUGUGGAUGCUUCACAGAUGGAAGGAGAGACGGCCAGUGUGGAUCCUUCACGGGCGGAAGGAGAAACGGCCAGUGUGGAUCCUUCACGGGCGGAAGGAGAAACAGCCAGCGUGGAUGCUUCACAGAUGGAAAGAGAAACGUCCAGCGUGGAUGCUUCACAGACGGAAAGAGAAGCGGCCAGCGUGGAUGCUUCACAGACGGAAAGAGAAAUGGCCAGCGUGAAUGCUUCACAGACGGAAAGAGAAACUGCCAUCGUGGAUGCUUCACAGACGGAAAGAGAAGCGGCCAGCGUGGAUGCUUCACAGACGGAAAGAGAAACGGCCAGCGUGGAUGCUUCACAGACGGAAAGAGAAACGGCCAGCGUGGAUGCUUCACAGACGGAAAGAGAAACGGCCAGCGUGGAUGUUUCACAGACGGAAAGAGAAACGGCCAGCGUGGAUGCUUCACAGACGGAAAGAGAAGCGGCCAGCGUGGAUGCUUCACAGACGGAAAGAGAAGCGGCCAGCGUGGAUGCUUCACAGACGGAAAGAGAAGCGGCCAGCGUGGAUGCUUCACAGACGGAAAGAGAAGCGGCCAGCGUGGAUGCUUCACAGACGGAAAGAGAAGUGGCCAGCGUGGAUGCUUCACAGACGGAAAGAGAAGCGGCCAGCGUGGAUGCUUCACAGACGGAAAGAGAAGCGGCCAGCGUGGAUGCUUCACAGACGGAAAGAGAAGCGGCCAGCGUGGAUGCUUCACAGACGGAAAGAGAAACGGCCAGCGUGGAUGCUUCACAGACGGAAAGAGAAACGGCCAGCGUGGAUGCUUCACAGACUGAAACAGCAAGUGCAGAUGGUUCACAGAAGGAAAGAAAAACAGCCAGCGUAGAUGCUUCAGAAACAGCCAGUGCAGACGCUUCACAGACGGAAAGAGAAAGGGCCAGCGUGGAUGCUUCACAGACGGAAAGAGAAACAGCCAGUGCUGAUGCUUCGCAGACGGAAAGAGAAACGGCCAGCGUGGGUGCUUCACAGACGGAAAGAGAAACAGCCAGUGCUGAUGCUUCGCAGGCAGUCGGAGAAACCGUUGGCUCAGAUGCACCCCAGACUGUGGAAGAAACAGGCAAUACAAAUGCUUCACAGACUAAUGGUGGAACAGACAGCACAGACAUACCUCUGGACAUGGGAGUAGUGGAUGCCGAUGAUGAGAUGGAGGUCAAUGCUAUCAAAGUGGAGGAGGAACAGAUGCAGGAGGAACACAACUUGGAGGGGAUGCCCGUGAUAACUGCUGUGGAAGAGGGAAGCGACAUGGACGCUUUUAGCAGCAACUCCCUGGAUCAUGGGGAUGAAGUGGAGAAGAUGGACACCGGGACAGAUGCACUGACGGAGAAGCAACGAGAGAAGCCCAAGGACACCGAGCAACCUGCUGAGCAGACCAGCUUUGAGGAGGCCAGCGGCUCGUCUCCACCUAUGGAGGGGGACCAUUCUGAAGAUGUCAAACCAUUUCACCCCAGUCCCACCUCUAGCGAAGCUUUUCUCCCACAGAACAGUAAAGGCUCUGACAGUCCUGCAGGGCUGGAGAAUGGAGUGACAGGACAGCCAGUCAAAGCUGUGGAUUCUGCCCAGCCGACAGCAGAGCCUGUGUCCACCAUCGUUGACACACUCUCCAUGGUGAAUGUGAAGGAUGAGCCAGUGGAUGAGGAGUAUGACCAGGCCCUGGCUCCAGUCGUCCUCACAGAGGGCGUCAAGGAUGAACCAGACGCAGCAGAGGAGUUGAAAAUCAGUAACGUCUUCUCUGUGGGCGGCGCCCCUACCCCAAUCGCCACAUCCAUACCAGUGACCUCCCUCUCCAAGACUGUAAUGCCUCCCUUGACCCCGGCCGCCUCCUCCAUCCCUCCGCUGAUGCCCAUGGCUAUGCGGGUGGCCUGCUCGGCCUGUAACAAGGUGUUACUGAAGGGCCAAACAGCCUACCAGAGGAAGGGCUCCUCAGACCUCUUCUGCUCCACGUCCUGUCUCACCUCCUAUAGUCCCCCGUCUGUCGUCAAGACGACUGCCCCCUGCCCAGCCAAGAAACCCUGCCACUACUGCCUCAAGGAGAUUGCAAACCCCAAGGACGUGAUCACAGCUCCUGUGGACACCAUGGGCACGGUGAAGGACUUCUGUAGCCAGACCUGCCUCUCCUCCUUCAACUUCAAGAGGAACUCUGCCGUCUCCACCCUCUCCUCCUCCCUCUCCACCAUGACUGGGGCCGUCAAGUGCAGCAUGUGCAAAAAGGCCUGCAUUAGUAAACACGAGGUGAUCUUCCAGGGCAGCAUGCACAGGCUGUGCAGCGAGGUGUGCUUCACGCGCUUCCGCUCCACCAACAAGCUGUCCAUGAACAGCUGUCAGAGCUGCAACAACUACUGCUAUGGAAAGGUCACCGUGCUGGUCAUGCAGGGGGUCAAUAAGACCUUCUGCAGCGCCGGCUGUGUCACCACCUUCAAACAGAAAGCUAAGAAGUCUGUGGCAUGUACUAUGUGCCGCAAGUUCCGCGCACCAGUGGAGAUGGUCGACAGCGCCGACUCUGAUGGCAAGCUGGAGAUGUUCUGCUCUACUGGCUGUGUUACAGCCCACAAAGUACAGACCGUCAGCUCCUCAGGUGCUCAGGUAGAGUGCAACACCUGUGGUCAGAAGACGGUGCCCUCCUUCCACCUGGCCAUGUCGGACGGCUCCAUCCGGAACUUCUGCACCAUGAACUGUGUCGUCACCUUUCAGGAUCAGUUCAAUAAGAGCAACUCCCAGAGCCAGAUGAACGUGACCCCCGGGACAGGGACCACCGCGGCACCGGGCCAGACCAGGGACAGGGGAUCCCAAGGGACCAAACUGCCCUGCUUCCAGUGCCACCACCUAUUCUCCUCCAAGCCCGAGCUCAUUCAGUUCAAGGAUAAGAUGGUAUUCCUCUGUUCGGUAAAUUGCUCCGAGGAGUACAGAAAGUUCAACUAUGAGAUGGCGCGCUGCGAGUACUGCAAGAUUGAGAAGCCAGCCAAGGAGGUCAAGAGAAUCAACAAUAGGGACUACACCUUCUGCAGUGAAGGCUGUAAGCUGCUCUACAAGCACGAUCUGACCAAGCGCUGGGGGAAACACUGCAGAACCUGUGCCUACUGCGCCUCUACCGCGCAGGAGGCCGUCACGGGCCAGUACGGAGGCAAGGUGGAGGAGUUCUGCUCGGAUGAGUGCAAGUCCCACUACACCCUGCUCUUUUGUCAGGUGGCCAAGUGUGACGCGUGCGAGCGCCAGGGGAAGCUGAUUGAGACCCUGCCGAUGCUGGGCGAGGUGAAGCACUUCUGCAACCUCCAGUGUCUGCUCGACUUCUGCAGCCUGCAGACCCAGAACCAGGGCAUGCCCCAGGGCCAAAAGGUGGCCAUGUCAAUUGCUCAAUCCCCCUCCAAUACUACCACUGCUACGAGCGUGUCUGAUCCCGUCAUCGCCAACGUAGUCUCACUAGCCAGCUCCCCCAUUGGCCAGCCCAACUACACCACUGCUCUGCAAGGGACUGUUCCAAGAAGACAUGUGAAGUAUGUUGGAAAUGCCAGCACACAGACUCAGGCCCCUCGGGCCCCUCCACCCAAGGUUCAGAAGAACAAGGCACUACUCUGUAAACCUAUGGUCCAGAACAAGGGCAUCAUGUGUAAACCCAACUUCACCACCUCAGGGUGCCAGACAGAUGAUAAUUUCCCCAAGGUGAUCGUAGUGCCUGUCCCAGUACCGGUGUAUGUUCCAGUCCCCAUGAACCUGUACACCCAGUACGCCCCCCAGCCUGUUGGACUCCCCAUACCGCUGCCCGUGCCCAUGUUCCUGCCGGUGACUCUGGACAACGCUGAGCGCAUCGUGGAGACCAUCCAGGACAUCAAGGAGAAGAUCCCCUCUGACCCGUUUGAGGCAGACCUCAUCCUCAUGGCCGAGAUGGUAGCCGAGGAGGGGAGGGAGAAGUCCCCGCAGCGACCCCCUGAAAGGCCAGCCCCAGCAGUACAAGAUGAUAUGAGAAGUUUGCCUCGCCUCUCUACUAUAGAUUCUUCUUUUUUAACCCUUAUUGUAGACCAGGGAAGCACCUACAGUGGAGACCUGGACACAGAAGAAUUGAGUAACUUCCUCACCUCUUGGCACGACGAGCCACCUCCCACCCCCGGCGUCUCCUCGCGCCACAGUCGACCCUAUGCCCACGAGACGCUCCGACCCAUCAUGGACAUCCACACCCCCAUCACACCCCCACCCCCAAUCAUGGAUAUAGAGGCCGACUUCCCUGUCCAAACCCUGGAGCUGAUGGCCCAUUGGAGGGAUCAGGAGAGGGAUAGAAGUCCCAGUCCUCCACCUUCUCCUCCACGACGAAGAGCCAGAAGGAAAGCUCGGGAUGGCUUGCCACAGAAGAAAAAGAGGCGUAAGUCGAAAGCAGCAGAGACUGCGUCAGUGGUGGCGUCACUGGGUGAGGCGCAGAGUGACGUGGUGCCCGGCGAGCCCCCUAAACUGCAGCACAUGUACGGGGUGGACGCCUGGAAGAGAUGGGUCCAGUGGAGCAAGACCCAGCCAGACCUGGAGAAGCCUCGAUUUGGCUCGCGACCAAUGGAGAUAAAAGAGGAUGUUUUAAAGUGCACUACAGCAGAGCUGGGCUACGGUCUCUGUCGGUUUAUUUGUGAAGUGAAACGACCCAACGGCGAGUCCUACAGCCAGGACAGUCUGUUCUAUCUCUGUCUCGGCAUCCAGCAGUACUUAUUUCAGAAUGGGCGCAUGGAGAACAUAUUCACUGAUCUCUUCUAUGGCAAGUUCACCCUGGAGAUCACCAAGCUGCUGAAAGGCUUCAAACCUACCAUAACGGCCAGUGGCUACCUGCACUCGCGGGUGGAGGAGGAGUACCUGUGGGACUGUAAACAGCUGGGGGCCUACUCUCCCAUCGUGCUGCUCAACACGCUGCUCUUCUUCUGCACCAAGUUCUUCCAGUUCAAGACGGUGGCCCAGCACCGCCAGCUCUCCUUUGCCCACGUUAUGCGCUGCACCAAGUCCAUCCACGACAACACCAAGUCCAACUUCCUGCGCUUCUACCCGCCCAUCCCCAAGAAAGACCUAGCUACUGAGACAGCAGCGGAUGUAGAUGGUGUGGCAGCGAAGAGGAAGAGGGAUGACGAGGAGAAAGAGGAGGUGCUGGAGAUGAUGGAGAACAGUGAGAAUCCCCUCCGCUGUCCUGUCCGAUUGUACGAGUUCUACCUUUCCAAGUGCUCGGACUCGGUAAAGCAGCGCACCAACGUGUUCUUCCUGCUCCCGGAGCGCUCGUGCGUCCCCAACAGCCCCAUGUGGUUCUCCUCCCAGGGCCUGGACGACCACACCUUGGACACCAUGCUGACACGCAUCCUCACCGUCAGGGAGAUUCAUCUGGGAGACCCCCAGAGGAACAAGCCCCAGUCCAAGGACCCUGAGUGGGUCCCCGACCAACAUGACGACAACUCGGAUUGACCAUGAGGACUGACGCAGAAGCCGGACCCGAAGACGUUCAAGCAGCACUUUGAGAGCAAGCAUCCCAAAUCCCCAAUGCCCCCAGAGCUGGAUGAUGUUGAGGCUUAAAAGACCAACACACACAAUGGACCUACAGCUGGGUUAAGAUGCUCUCAUCAUUCAGACUCACAGUUUACAUACACACGAUGACCACAAUUAGAGCGCUGCAACUGGAAUUUAAUGGCAUCAAGAGACAAAAUACUGAGACCCCUGGACAUGGGUGGGGGAUAUUUGUGACAAUGACCUAAAAAGGGGGGCAGAAGCACACCAGCACCCCAUCUUAUAUGUCCAACCACCCCUCAACUUCAGACUCUUUUGAAGCGCCCAUCUUAAUUAUAUGAGCCCACUCUACCUACAUCCCUUUUUCCCAUGCUGCUUCCUUCAUUAAUACCUGAUUCAGUAACAUCUAGACUGUUACGCGUCUAAAAGUAUCAGGGUGUUACUGUUUUUGCAACUUUUUCUCAGUUGUGUACCGCAGUCUUACUUUAACCCACAACUCUUUUCUAUACCUCCUCCCAUACACUCUUGUGCAAAUCAUUUCUGCUUUCUUUGAGAAUGGUGUCAUAGUGGAAAGGAUUUGUUAUUUGCCCAAGACUGAGUCUUGUUCUGCCUGUAAAAGGCCCUGGUUGAAACAGUGCCAAAAUCACUGUGGAUAGUCACCUGGUCCACGUUGUAACAGUUGUAUUUUGAAUUUGACCAUUUCCAAGAAAUGUAGCAAUAUAUAUGAAAUCAUUCCUCUACCUAUUUGAUCCAUUCUGAUGGAAAGCAGUGAAUAUGUUGUAUGUGUGAGAGAAUAUGUAUGCCUUGUAAUUCUAGCAGAAAAUGUGUUGCUUCCAAAUGCAAGUUAAACGCCAUUCCUUCUAUACUGAUACCAGACAAAUGCAUACUUACAAGUAUUUUCAAAUGUAUUUCCAAUAUACUGGAAUGCUAUGUAGCUGAAGAGUGGUGACACUGUUUAGGAUAGGAGUGUCAAUCAGUUUCUGGAGGUCUGUGUUCACUGGCAUUUCCUCUCACUUCUGCAUCAAAUCAACCUCUGCAAUAAAUAUUCUAGUUUAUUUUAUUACAAAUAUAGCAGUACACAGUCCUCCAUAAAUAUGUUGACAAUGACACAUUCCUGUGUAUUGGAUCCUCUCUACAUAGAAAAACGACAAAAUUGAAUUGGACAUUUUCCAUUGCUACUAACUUGUACUGGUUACAGGUAGAACAAAAGAAAUGCACACACUUAUGGCCCAUAUAUUUAGCGUUUUAAUUGAACCAUGUGUAGUACAUCUAAAAGAGACAAUGAGAAAUUCUUGGUUCAACAAGACAACAGUCAUCAAAAGGGUAGAAAUGUAGCAUUGUACUUGUGUCACAGUACUUUACAGCUUUGAUUGGACUCAUAUAAUAUAUGACAAAGGGUGAUGUAAUUAUCUGAAUUACUGUAGAUUUGAAUAGUUUAAGAGUGAAGUAGGGUUAUAAGUUGAAUGUGAAGAUCCGUCGUUAUGAAAGAGGUAAUUGGUGUUAUUCAUAUACCAUUCUCAAAGUCAAUAUACUGAACAAAAAUAUAAACACCACAUAUAAAGUGUUGGUCCCAUGUUUCAUGAACUGAAAUAAAAGAUCCCAGAAAAGUUC
Molecule: RNA transcript, 8121 nt
Organism: Oncorhynchus keta (chum salmon)
Lineage: Eukaryota; Metazoa; Chordata; Actinopteri; Salmoniformes; Salmonidae
Gene name: zinc finger MYM-type protein 4-like
Exons: 31
Source: RefSeq, a predicted model, not a curated record